GAUGAACGCUAGCUACAGGCUUAACACAUGCAAGUCGAGGGGAAACGAUAUUGGAAGCUUGCUUCCGAUAGGCGUCGACCGGCGCACGGGUGAGUAACGCGUAUCCAACCUGCCCAUCACUUGGGGAUAACCUUGCGAAAGUAAGACUAAUACCCAAUGACGUCUCUAGAAGACAUCUGAAAGAGAUUAAAGAUUUAUCGGUGAUGGAUGGGGAUGCGUCUGAUUAGCUUGUUGGCGGGGUAACGGCCCACCAAGGCGACGAUCAGUAGGGGUUCUGAGAGGAAGGUCCCCCACAUUGGAACUGAGACACGGUCCAAACUCCUACGGGAGGCAGCAGUGAGGAAUAUUGGUCAAUGGGCGGAAGCCUGAACCAGCCAAGUAGCGUGCAGGAAGACGGCCCUAUGGGUUGUAAACUGCUUUCAGUCGGGAAUAAAGUUAGUCUCGUGAGACUUUUUGCAUGUACCUUAUGAAUAAGGACCGGCUAAUUCCGUG
This 492-nucleotide ribosomal RNA is filed under the name uncultured bacterium. Its description in RNAcentral is "bacterial SSU rRNA". It matches the Rfam family "Bacterial small subunit ribosomal RNA", at positions 28 to 507 of the family's 1533-position model. The record is from RNAcentral.